UUGUGGCCACAUCACAUUACAAAACCGGUUCUCAUACACUCACUGAAGUUAAGCAACGUCGAUCUUGGUCAGUACCUAGAUGGGUGACGGCAUGGGAAUACCAAGCGCUA
This is a non-coding RNA of Acanthosepion pharaonis, 110 nucleotides long. Lineage: Eukaryota; Metazoa; Mollusca; Cephalopoda; Sepiida; Sepiidae. The record is from the annotation of a GenBank genome assembly.